GUUUUAAUAGUUUAAAUAAAAAUUAUGAUCUUGUAAAUCAUAGAUAGGAUGAACCUUUAAAACU
Molecule: transfer RNA, 64 nt
Filed under: Lethocerus deyrollei
Lineage: Eukaryota; Metazoa; Arthropoda; Insecta; Hemiptera; Belostomatidae
Also listed under: 1 other name
Description: tRNA-Thr
Source: RNAcentral